UCCUAAAUUCAGCCUUUGCUAUCCUUACAUCCAAACCCUCCUCGACUCCGACAGGGUUUAAGUUCCCAUCACAAAGCGCCUACAAUACACUUGAGUCUCUAUUUUCCUAAAAUGGCCUCUUUCACCGCCGCCAGAUCCAUUUUCCGAUCAACCUCCUCCGCUCGCAACGCCGCUGCCCGGUUCACGUCCAAACCCAAAUCCUCACGGGCUUCUCCCUUUCGAGCUUCCGCCAACAAGCCUCUCUCUCAACCCAUUUUCAGGCGUCCAGUUGAAAUGAGCUUCGGCGUUGAAUCGAUGAUGCCAUACCACACAGCCACUGCUUCGGCAUUGAUGACUUCGAUGCUCUCCAUCUCUCGACGCAGCUAUGGUUGGCUUCCGGAAGCUUGCAAUGAUGAUGUGUGAAACAGAGGAUUCAAGCAAGUUUUAGUACAAAAUUCUGCCUUUUAGAAGUUUUGAAUGGGCUGCUGAGGAGCAAGUUGGUAUUUAUGGAUCUUCCAAACAUAGAAUUAAUGGAUGAGAUUAUGUUUGUCUGGUGAUAUGCACUGGUUGCAAGUCUUGUUGCCAUGUAAUCUGGUGGCUGCUAUCUAUUUGAGCUUUAGUUUGAUUAGAUUAGGAGAGAAUUCAAAAUUGAACUACAGAAUCUGGGUUAUAGUUGACUGUUGGAUGGCUUAUAUUUCCUUCAGGCUAGGUGUUUUCUUGGUUGUAAGGUUGUAAUACAGAAAUUUUAUGGGUCUUGUUCUACCCAAUUCGCCCUUCACCAACUACCUUGAACAUCUCCUUCUUUCCUGGGAAUGAUCUCAAUUGGAACCUUAAUGCUUACUGCUAAUCUUUUACUGAAAGCUUAUGAUUAGAAUGUGGAGGUUCAACCGCAAGCUUCCUUUGUCUACUUCAUGCUUGAGCUAUUCUUGCUGAUUUCUUGCCACCCGUUUGGUGACCAUGGCAGAGCUUCACAAAAUGAGCCAAGCACACAAUUUUGAAGCAGAUUCCCGAUUGAAAUGAAUUACCCAUCUCAGUAUGGAUUCCAUUAUAAUGUUCCCUAUUUUUUUAGUUUUUAUGAAAUGUGAGAUAUCACAAUUCUGAAUGCGACUUAAA
Molecule: RNA transcript, 1092 nt
Organism: Hevea brasiliensis (rubber tree)
Lineage: Eukaryota; Viridiplantae; Streptophyta; Magnoliopsida; Malpighiales; Euphorbiaceae
Gene name: protein NUCLEAR FUSION DEFECTIVE 6, mitochondrial
Exons: 4
Source: RefSeq, a predicted model, not a curated record